This 2898-nucleotide ribosomal RNA is filed under the name Shigella dysenteriae 225-75. Its description in RNAcentral is "bacterial LSU rRNA". It matches the Rfam family "Bacterial large subunit ribosomal RNA". The record is from RNAcentral. Lineage: Bacteria; Pseudomonadati; Pseudomonadota; Gammaproteobacteria; Enterobacterales; Enterobacteriaceae.
UAAGCGACUAAGCGUACACGGUGGAUGCCCUGGCAGUCAGAGGCGAUGAAGGACGUGCUAAUCUGCGAUAAGCGUCGGUAAGGUGAUAUGAACCGUUAUAACCGGCGAUUUCCGAAUGGGGAAACCCAGUGUGAUUCGUCACACUAUCAUUAACUGAAUCCAUAGGUUAAUGAGGCGAACCGGGGGAACUGAAACAUCUAAGUACCCCGAGGAAAAGAAAUCAACCGAGAUUCCCCCAGUAGCGGCGAGCGAACGGGGAGCAGCCCAGAGCCUGAAUCAGUGUGUGUGUUAGUGGAAGCGUCUGGAAAGGCGUGCGAUACAGGGUGACAGCCCCGUACACAAAAUGCACAUAUUGUGAGCUCGAUGAGUAGGGCGGGACACGUGGUAUCCUGUCUGAAUAUGGGGGGACCAUCCUCCAAGGCUAAAUACUCCUGACUGACCGAUAGUGAACCAGUACCGUGAGGGAAAGGCGAAAAGAACCCCGGCGAGGGGAGUGAAAAAGAACCUGAAACCGUGUACGUACAAGCAGUGGGAGCACGCUUCGGCGUGUGACUGCGUACCUUUUGUAUAAUGGGUCAGCGACUUAUAUUCUGUAGCAAGGUUAACCGAAUAGGGGAGCCGAAGGGAAACCGAGUCUUAACUGGGCGUUAAGUUGCAGGGUAUAGACCCGAAACCCGGUGAUCUAGCCAUGGGCAGGUUGAAGGUUGGGUAACACUAACUGGAGGACCGAACCGACUAAUGUUGAAAAAUUAGCGGAUGACUUGUGGCUGGGGGUGAAAGGCCAAUCAAACCGGGAGAUAGCUGGUUCUCCCCGAAAGCUAUUUAGGUAGCGCCUCGUGAAUUCAUCUCCGGGGGUAGAGCACUGUUUCGGCAAGGGGGUCAUCCCGACUUACCAACCCGAUGCAAACUGCGAAUACCGGAGAAUGUUAUCACGGGAGACACACGGCGGGUGCUAACGUCCGUCGUGAAGAGGGAAACAACCCAGACCGCCAGCUAAGGUCCCAAAGUCAUGGUUAAGUGGGAAACGAUGUGGGAAGGCCCAGACAGCCAGGAUGUUGGCUUAGAAGCAGCCAUCAUUUAAAGAAAGCGUAAUAGCUCACUGGUCGAGUCGGCCUGCGCGGAAGAUGUAACGGGGCUAAACCAUGCACCGAAGCUGCGGCAGCGACACUAUGUGUUGUUGGGUAGGGGAGCGUUCUGUAAGCCUGUGAAGGUGUACUGUGAGGUAUGCUGGAGGUAUCAGAAGUGCGAAUGCUGACAUAAGUAACGAUAAAGCGGGUGAAAAGCCCGCUCGCCGGAAGACCAAGGGUUCCUGUCCAACGUUAAUCGGGGCAGGGUGAGUCGACUCCUAAGGCGAGGCCGAAAGGCGUAGUCGAUGGGAAACAGGUUAAUAUUCCUGUACUUGGUGUUACUGCGAAGGGGGGACGGAGAAGGCUAUGUUGGCCGGGCGACGGUUGUCCCGGUUUAAGCGUGUAGGCUGGUUUUCCAGGCAAAUCCGGAAAACUAAGGCUGAGGCGUGAUGACGAGGCACUACGGUGCUGAAGCAACAAAUGCCCUGCUUCCAGGAAAAGCCUCUAAGCAUCAGGUAACAUCAAAUCGUACCCCAAACCGACACAGGUGGUCAGGUAGAGAAUACCAAGGCGCUUGAGAGAACUCGGGUGAAGGAACUAGGCAAAAUGGUGCCGUAACUUCGGGAGAAGGCACGCUGAUAUGUAGGUGAAGUCCCUCGCGGAUGGAGCUGAAAUCAGUCGAAGAUACCAGCUGGCUGCAACUGUUUAUUAAAAACACAGCACUGUGCAAACACGAAAGUGGACGUAUACGGUGUGACGCCUGCCCGGUGCCGGAAGGUUAAUUGAUGGGGUCAGCGCAAGCGAAGCUCUUGAUCGAAGCCCCGGUAAACGGCGGCCGUAACUAUAACGGUCCUAAGGUAGCGAAAUUCCUUGUCGGGUAAGUUCCGACCUGCACGAAUGGCGUAAUGAUGGCCAGGCUGUCUCCACCCGAGACUCAGUGAAAUUGAACUCGCUGUGAAGAUGCAGUGUACCCGCGGCAAGACGGAAAGACCCCGUGAACCUUUACUAUAGCUUGACACUGAACAUUGAGCCUUGAUGUGUAGGAUAGGUGGGAGGCUUUGAAGUGUGGACGCCAGUCUGCAUGGAGCCGACCUUGAAAUACCACCCUUUAAUGUUUGAUGUUCUAACGUUGACCCGUAAUCCGGGUUGCGGACAGUGUCUGGUGGGUAGUUUGACUGGGGCGGUCUCCUCCUAAAGAGUAACGGAGGAGCACGAAGGUUGGCUAAUCCUGGUCGGACAUCAGGAGGUUAGUGCAAUGGCAUAAGCCAGCUUGACUGCGAGCGUGACGGCGCGAGCAGGUGCGAAAGCAGGUCAUAGUGAUCCGGUGGUUCUGAAUGGAAGGGCCAUCGCUCAACGGAUAAAAGGUACUCCGGGGAUAACAGGCUGAUACCGCCCAAGAGUUCAUAUCGACGGCGGUGUUUGGCACCUCGAUGUCGGCUCAUCACAUCCUGGGGCUGAAGUAGGUCCCAAGGGUAUGGCUGUUCGCCAUUUAAAGUGGUACGCGAGCUGGGUUUAGAACGUCGUGAGACAGUUCGGUCCCUAUCUGCCGUGGGCGCUGGAGAACUGAGGGGGGCUGCUCCUAGUACGAGAGGACCGGAGUGGACGCAUCACUGGUGUUCGGGUUGUCAUGCCAAUGGCACUGCCCGGUAGCUAAAUGCGGAAGAGAUAAGUGCUGAAAGCAUCUAAGCACGAAACUUGCCCCGAGAUGAGUUCUCCCUGACUCCUUGAGAGUCCUGAAGGAACGUUGAAGACGACGACGUUGAUAGGCCGGGUGUGUAAGCGCAGCGAUGCGUUGAGCUAACCGGUACUAAUGAACCGUGAGGCUUAACCU